UUUCUUCAGGAAUAACUCCUGAUAUUUUAUUAUUUGAGAGGUCCAUACUUCUCACGAAAUUAAGAUUGGUGGAAUAUUCAAUCAUUUCUCCCUUUGUCAUAAUUGAGGAACUAUCAGAAAAAAGUGAGGGUCCACCAGCAGAAAAGAUGAUUUGACCUUCAUUUCCCAUAGCAUGAUGCCUUUCAUUUACCAUUUCAAUAAAGUUAUUGAUACAUGUUGGUAUGGUACCGCUGAGGUUGUUAUUGGCAAGAUCCAAGAUUUGCAAAUAA
Molecule: unclassified non-coding RNA, 269 nt
Filed under: Hevea brasiliensis (rubber tree)
Lineage: Eukaryota; Viridiplantae; Streptophyta; Magnoliopsida; Malpighiales; Euphorbiaceae
Source: RNAcentral